RNAcentral lists this transfer RNA (73 nucleotides) under Caudoviricetes sp. RNAcentral's name for it is "tRNA-Ala". It matches the Rfam family "tRNA". From Rfam's summary of the family: Transfer RNA (tRNA) molecules are approximately 80 nucleotides in length. Lineage: Duplodnaviria; Heunggongvirae; Uroviricota; Caudoviricetes. The record is from RNAcentral.
GGGGCCGUAGCUCAGAUGGUAGAGCGCCUGUUUUGCAAGCAGGAGGUCGCGAGUUCGACUCUCGCUGGUUCCA